Molecule: ribosomal RNA, 329 nt
Filed under: uncultured eukaryote
Lineage: Eukaryota
Description: partial 18S ribosomal RNA
Rfam family: Eukaryotic small subunit ribosomal RNA
Source: RNAcentral
CCCUUUGAUGUUCUGGGCCGCACGCGCGCUACACUGACGAUGGCAACGAGUUUUUCCUUCGCCGAAAGGUGUGGGUAAUCUUUUGAAACAUCGUCGUGCUGGGGAUAGAUCAUUGCAAUUUUUGAUCUUGAACGAGGAAUUCCUAGUAAGCGCGAGUCAUCAGCUCGCGUUGAUUACGUCCCUGCCCUUUGUACACACCGCCCGUCGCUACUACCGAUUGAAUGGUUUAGUGAGGACUCCUGAUUGGCGCCGCCGCCCCGGCAACGGAGCAGCGGACUGCCGAAAAGUUGUUCAAACUUGAUCAUUUAGAGGAAGUAAAAGUCGUAACA